UACGGGGGGAGCAAGCGUUGUUCGGAUUUACUGGGCGUAAAGGGCGCGUAGGCGGCCACCGCAAGUCGACUGUGAAAUCUCCGGGCUUAACCCGGAAAGGUCAGCCGAUACUGCGGGGCUAGAGUGCAGAAGGGGCAACUGGAAUUCUCGGUGUAGCGGUGAAAUGCGUAGAUAUCGAGAGGAACACCUGCGGCGAAGGCGGGUUGCUGGGCUGACACUGACGCCGAGGCGCGAAAGCUAGGGGAGCGAACGGG
This 254-nucleotide ribosomal RNA is filed under the name uncultured bacterium. RNAcentral describes it as "partial 16S ribosomal RNA". It matches the Rfam family "Bacterial small subunit ribosomal RNA", at positions 524 to 776 of the family's 1533-position model. The record is from RNAcentral.